GACGAACGCUGGCGGCGUGCUUAACACAUGCAAGUCGAACGGAAAGGCCCUGCUUUUGUGGGGUGCUCGAGUGGCGAACGGGUGAGUAACACGUGAGUAACCUGCCCUUGACUUUGGGGUAACUUCAGGAAACUGGGGCUAAUACCGGAUAGGAGCUCCUGCUGCAUGGUGGGGGUUGGAAAGUUUCGGCGGUUGGGGAUGGACUCGCGGCUUAUCAGCUUGUUGGUGGGGUAGUGGCUUACCAAGGCUUUGACGGGUAGCCGGCCUGAGAGGGUGAGCGGCCACAUUGGGACUGAGAUACGGCCCAGACUCCUACGUGAGGCAGCAGUGGGGAAUAUUGCACAAUGGGCGGAAGCCUGAUGCAGCAACGCCGCGGGCGGGAUGACGGCCUUCGGGUUGUAAACCGCUUUCGCCUGUGACGAAGCGUGAGUGACGGUAAUGGGUAAAGAAGCACCGGCUAACUACGUG
Molecule: ribosomal RNA, 468 nt
Filed under: uncultured bacterium
Lineage: Bacteria
Description: partial 16S ribosomal RNA
Rfam family: Bacterial small subunit ribosomal RNA
Source: RNAcentral